RNAcentral lists this ribosomal RNA (776 nucleotides) under actinobacterium SCGC AAA043-J08. RNAcentral describes it as "bacterial SSU rRNA". It matches the Rfam family "Bacterial small subunit ribosomal RNA", at positions 66 to 853 of the family's 1533-position model. The record is from RNAcentral. Lineage: Bacteria; Bacillati; Actinomycetota; Actinomycetes.
ACGAUGACGUUCCCUUCGGGGAGCUGAUUAGUGGCGAACGGGUGAGGAACACGUGAAGAAUCUGCCCUCCACUUUGGGAUAACUCCGGGAAACCGGGGCUAAUACCGAAUAUUGAAGCAUAAGCGGCAUCGCUGAGCUUUGAAAGAAUUUCGGUGGAGGAUGACUUCGCGGCCUAUCAGCUUGUUGGUGAGGUAAUGGCUCACCAAGGCUACGACGGGUAUCCGGCCUGAGAGGGCGACCGGACACACUGGGACUGAGACACGGCCCAGACUCCUACGGGAGGCAGCAGUGGGGAAUAUUGGGCAAUGGACGCAAGUCUGACCCAGCGACGCCGCGUGAGGGAUGAAGGCCUUCGGGUUGUAAACCUCUUUCAGUAGGGAAGAAGCGAAAGUGACGGUACCUACAAAAGAAGCACCGGCUAACUAUGUGCCAGCAGCCGCGGUAAUACAUAGGGUGCAAGCGUUGUCCGGAUUUAUUGGGCGUAAAGAACUCGUAGGUGGUUUGUUACGUCGGAUGUGAAACUCUGGGGCUCAACCCCAGACCUGCAUCCGAUACGGGCAGACUAGAGUGUGGUAGGGGAGACUGGAAUUCCUGGUGUAGCGGUGGAAUGCGCAGAUAUCAGGAGGAACACCAAUGGCGAAGGCAGGUCUCUGGGCCAUUACUGACACUGAGGAGUGAAAGUGUGGGGAGCGAACAGGAUUAGAUACCCUGGUAGUCCACACCGUAAACGAUGGACGCUAGUUGUGGGGACCUUCCACGGUUUCUGCGACGCAGCU